Molecule: ribosomal RNA, 103 nt
Filed under: Oryctolagus cuniculus (rabbit)
Lineage: Eukaryota; Metazoa; Chordata; Mammalia; Lagomorpha; Leporidae
Source: RNAcentral
GUCUACGGCCAUUCCACCCUGAACAUACCUGAUCUCAUCUGAUCUUGGAAGCUAAGCAGAGUUGGGCCUGGUAUGUAUUUGGAUGGGAGAACCGGUGCAGCCA